Molecule: ribosomal RNA, 420 nt
Filed under: bacterium
Lineage: Bacteria
Description: partial 16S ribosomal RNA
Rfam family: Bacterial small subunit ribosomal RNA
Source: RNAcentral
UGGGGGAUAUUGCACAAUGGGCGAAAGCCUGAUGCAGCGACGCCGCGUGGGGGAUGAAGGCUUUCGGGUUGUAAACCUCUUUCGCUAUCGAACAAGGCCCGCUUAGGGUGGGUUGAGGGUAGGUGGAGAAGAAGCGCCGGCUAACUAAGUGCCAGCAGCCGCGGUAAUACGUAGGGCGCGAGCGUUGUCCGGAAUUAUUGGGCGUAAAGGGCUUGUAGGCGGCUUGUUGCGCCUGCUGUGAAAACGCGGGGCUUAACUUCGCGCGUGCAGUGGGUACGGGCAGGCUUGAGUGUGGUAGGGGUGACUGGAAUUCCAGGUGUAGCGGUGGAAUGCGCAGAUAUCUGGAGGAACACCGAUGGCGAAGGCAGGUCACUGGGCCAUUACUGACGCUGAGGAGCGAAAGCAUGGGUAGCGAACAGG